UGGACAGAUUAUUGUAUUCGACUGUAUUCACGGCGUGAAAUAGGGGAUUACACUGUUUUUAAAACGGAAAGUCAAUCAAUUAACAUAAUAGACUCAU
This 97-nucleotide microRNA precursor is filed under the name Nicotiana attenuata. RNAcentral's name for it is "MIR6152 microRNA precursor family". It matches the Rfam family "MIR6152 microRNA precursor family". Lineage: Eukaryota; Viridiplantae; Streptophyta; Magnoliopsida; Solanales; Solanaceae. The record is from Rfam by way of RNAcentral.